This 269-nucleotide ribosomal RNA is filed under the name uncultured bacterium. Its description in RNAcentral is "partial 16S ribosomal RNA". It matches the Rfam family "Bacterial small subunit ribosomal RNA", at positions 337 to 598 of the family's 1533-position model. The record is from RNAcentral.
ACCUACGGGAGGCAGCAGUAGGGAAUCUUCCACAAUGGACGAAAGUCUGAUGGAGCAACGCCGCGUGAGUGGAGAAGGGUUUCGGCUCGUAAAGCUCUGUUGGUAGUGAAGAAAGAUAGAGGUAGUAACUGGCCUUUAUUUGACGGUAAUUACUUAGAAAGUCACGGCUAACUACGUGCCAGCAGCCGCGGUAAUACGUAGGUGGCAAGCGUUGUCCGGAUUUAUUGGGCGUAAAGCGAGUGCAGGCGGUUCCAUCAGGCUGAUGUUGA